UGGGGCAUAUUGCACAAUGGGCGCAAGCCUGAUGCAGCCAUGCCGCGUGUGUGAAGAAGGCCUUCGGGUUGUAAAGCACUUUCAGCGGGGAGGAAGGCGUUAAGGUUAAUAACCUUGGCGAUUGACGUUACCCGCAGAAGAAGCACCGGCUAACUCCGUGCCAACAGCCGCGGUAAUACGGAGGGUGCAAGCGUUAAUCGGAAUUACUGGGCGUAAAGCGCACGCAGGCGGUCUGUCAAGUCGGAUGUGAAAUCCCCGGGCUUAACCUGGGAACUGCAUUCGAAACUGGCAGGCUAGAGUCUUGUAGAGGGGGGUAGAAUUCCAGGUGUAGCGGUGAAAUGCGUAGAGAUCUGGAGGAAUACCGGUGGCGAAGGCGGCCCCCUGGACAAAGACUGACGCUCAGGUGCGAAAGCGUGGGGAGCAAACAGG
This 429-nucleotide ribosomal RNA is filed under the name Chloroflexota bacterium. RNAcentral describes it as "Chloroflexi bacterium partial 16S ribosomal RNA". It matches the Rfam family "Bacterial small subunit ribosomal RNA", at positions 355 to 776 of the family's 1533-position model. The record is from RNAcentral. Lineage: Bacteria; Bacillati; Chloroflexota.